AACUUGUUACAAUGGAUCACGUGGUUCUGGCAUCGAUGAAGAACGCAGCGAAAUGCGAUACGUAAUGUGAAUUGCAGAUUUCAGUGAAUCAUCGAAUCUUUGAACGCACAUUGCGCCCGCUAGUAUUCUGGCGGGCAUGCCUGUUCGAGCGUCAUUUCAACCAUCAAGCGCCUGCGCUUGUGUUGGAGCCCUGCGGCUGCCGCAGGCUCCCAAACCCAGUGGCGGGCUCGUCGUCGUACCGAGUGCAGUAAACUUACCACGCUCAGGGAACUCGACGGGUGACCGGCCGUAAAACCCCCAAUUUCUCAAGGUUGACCUCGGAUCAGGUAGGAAUACCCGCUGAACUUAAGCAUAUCAAUAAGCGGAGGCU
This 370-nucleotide unclassified non-coding RNA is filed under the name uncultured Podospora. Its description in RNAcentral is "sequence contains ITS2". The stretch from base 1 to 154 matches the Rfam family "5.8S ribosomal RNA". The record is from RNAcentral. Lineage: Eukaryota; Fungi; Ascomycota; Sordariomycetes; Sordariales; Lasiosphaeriaceae.